CGCUAAGCGCCAAGACUGAAAGUUUAGUGUUAUAGGUAUUUGGCCGGUUUUUAUUAAUUUGAUUAUAUUUAAUAGCAAUGGUGCAAUAUUGUUGCUGUUAUGGGUGCAAAGAAAGAUAUGUGAAAGGAGGAACAGUUACUUUUCAUAGUUUUCCGAAAGACGAGCGAAGAGCGAAAAUAUGGCUCCAGAACAUAAAUAGACCGAAUUUCGUCCAUUCAAGGUACUCGAAAGUGUGUUCGAAGCACUUUACGGAAGAAAGCUUUGAUAGGGAGAGGUUUGGAGGCGUCUGGCUCAAGAAUGAUGCUAUACCAACAGUUUUUGAUUGUUGUGAGCGCCCACCAAAAGCAGCAGCAAAAAAACGUCCACCAAAAAGAGAUAAUUCACAAAAUCUUAAUGAGCUCCUGGCAAGCAUUCAGAGUAGAAAUGUUCCGAUUCUACCAGCGCCCUCUACUUCAGCAAACAGUAAAAGACAUUACAGUAUUUGGUGUAUUUCAGUAGUGCCACCAUCGGCACCCAAACCUGAGCAAACUUGGCCAGAUGAUGAAAGAAACAGGGAAAUUACUGCAUUAGUAGGUGAAUCAAACAUUAUGCCAAAUGAUUCAGCUACCAACAAAAUGCAGUUGGGAAUUGCCACGAAAAAGGAGUUAGAUGACAGAGAGAAUCGAGACUAUUUUUUGUGUGGCACAGUGAAGCAGGAACAGGAGUAUGAGCACGCGGUUGUGAAGAAGGAACCAGAAGGAGACCCUGAUGAAUCUAUGUAUUCAGCAACUGAAGAGGAGUGUGAGCACGUCGUUGUGAAGGAAGAACCAAUGGAAGAGCCUGAUGAAUCUGUGAAUUCAGCAACUGAAGCGGGAUGUGAAAUCACGAUAGUGAAGGAGGAACCAGCAGAUGAGUCCACAUAUGCAGCAGGUGAAGAGGUGUGUGGGAGGAUAAAUGUGAAGGUGGAACAGGAGCCUGAAUACGAAAGGAACUCCUGUGAGGAACACAGAACACAGGAACCAGAAUACAUAGAAGUGAAGAGCGAACCACUCGAGGCAGAGGAAGUUACUGGUGACGGAGCCACACAUUGGGACUCCCUCUGUUUCUGGUGAAUGUUUUUCCCCAAGCUUCACCACCAACUCACUUGAUAUUUCUGGCACAAAUGUGACAAUAACAGCAGGCUGUAAGAUUCUGGAAAUUCACUGGUUUCUAUAAAGGAAGGGGGAUGGGGGACAACCCAGAAAGUUUUAUUUCAAAUGUGAUGAUGUGUACAAUCUCGAAAGACAUUCAGGAGAAUGCAAUGUGAAACUGGAGAGAGAUUACCUUAAUCAGUAGAUGCAGUGCAAAACUUUUUCUUAAGCAGUUGAUGCAUGUACAGCACCAGCACUGCAUCUAGCUACACUUGGCCCACAACAAUGUUCCUGUAACACCUCCAUCUGAAGAUAAGGCACGAAAACAUGUUCAAGGUUGAAUAUUUAUUACCAGAUGAAUGCCAAUACUGCAGUCUUUGCUAUUGUAAUGUAUCAUUUUACAAGCUAUACAGAUGUAAUAAACUGAUAUUAAAAAUUUCUGUUAAUAGUGGCAACAGAAUUGGAAAAUCACAUUAAUGGGCAACUAAGAAAUAUCUCUAAAAUAUUUAUAUUAACAUCCAGUCUUAAAUGAUUCAACAAUUUUAUCUGCAUUUAAUUUGCAUUUCAAUCAAAAAUUUGUGCUUACCAAAUGUGCCACAUCAUGGAAAUGACGCAAAUGGUGAUGACAUCUCACUGAAGUAAAUAUGUGAGCAAUCACAAAUAAGUUACACAUAUCAUAGGAAAUGUUACAGAAAAUGACAAUUUAAGUUGUAAAGCAAACCUGCAUGUGAUUCAAGGCAAUACAAGCUUGUAUGAUAUAUAUACACACACACACACACACACACACACACACACUCUUGACACAGGAAUAAAGUAUUACAAUAAACUUCCAGAAAAAUAACAUUAAAUAUAAAAUCAUUUGCUAGCACAAUUACUGAAUGUUUAUAGCCACUAAACAGAAGGAAUUUUUUAUGAACACUAUAUUUAAAUCUAAAAUCCAAAUUCAUAUAUGUUGCAGUGCAUAUGGUUCUAUCAGCAAAAUAAAUAAAUAAAAUGCAUAAAAACUAAUUAGAAAUUUAAUUUUACCAGCUUUUACUACAUCUUUCACGGUCCUGUAAGAGAGUUUCAUGAAUACAUACUGAAGUUGAUGCUCUGUACAUUCAUUCAAAUAUGUAUGCAUUGCAGGAAACUUUUUUUUUUAAUAGCAUUAACACAACCAAUUUACACUGCAUUGAAAGUGAAAGAAAAAAAAUGUGAAGUCCACAUUGUUAUUCACAUAUCUGCAGAAAUACCUAAAGGGGUUACAUUUUGCUUAAAAGUAUUAGAACUUCAACAUUUCUCUUAUUGCCAAUUGUAUGGUGGCAAUUUAUCACUUCCACUCACAAAUGGCAGUCAACAGAUUUCAACAAAAAGCUAAAGACAAUAUAUUGAAGUAUUCACACAAUGUAAAAUGUCAUCACUGUUUUUUCUAAUACAAAUAAUUUAUUUCCCAUUAAUAUAACAUAAUUUUAUUGAGAAUGCAUGUGAAUUUAGUGGUAGUGAAAUGGCACAGCGGGGGGUGGGCACGACAAGAGUGACUCUGAAUAUAAUGUAAAACAUGCUGCCUCAUCUGGAACACGGCAAAAUUUGAACUCAAUGUUGUAUCUGGUCAAGAAUGUGUUAAAAGCCAAGUUAAAAAAAUGGGUAUGUAGCUUGAUACCAGGUUAAUGUAUAUAAAUAAAUAAAACAAGUAGCCUUGUUUGUUUUUACAUACCUUGAAUUCAAAAUUUAACUACAGUUUUCCACAAGAAAAUUAUUCCUUUGUCUAUAAGUGACAUUACUCUGACAUCAUCGCCUCCAUCUUUGUUCCCAUAACAACUGAGUCACAAGAUCCCUCUCAGCAUAUUAAAUUGGAAUUCAACAAAUCUGUCAAGCCUCACAUUUGUGAUCUGCCAUUUGGCAACACUGGCAAAUUAUGCAGUGCAGCACACAGUAAAAGAAACCUCAAGUACACGGUCAAAAAUUGUAUAAUUGUGUUUCUCCACAAUUUGAGUAGGUAUGUACUCACUUCAUCACUGAGCACAUGGCUGGUAUACCACCUUGUAGACAUGUUCAGGCAAUUCUAGAGCAUAAUCAUGACAGCAUCCUCUCCACUAUUUCAGUAAAUGAGAAAUCUUAAAAUACUGAAAUUGGUGAUCUCAUGCAGUAAAUAUAAGUGAUGGAAGUUUUCACUAAACUGGUCUCCAGGUAUUGACAUAGCAGGUUCCUCAAGUUUGCAGUUAACAAGUUGAAUGAGGUGAUGUCACAACUUUUCAUUGUAUGUGUGUGAUUUACUUAAUCCAAAAGUUAUGAGUGAUAUGAACCAGAAAGUAGUUGCAAGGUCCAGAGUAUGGAUCUAUGCUGUAUAUAUCACUGUGUGUCUUAAUUAUUUUUCUGGUCUAACAAGGGGACAGAAUAUCUGGUUUAGAUACUGGGGAGGAGGCAAAAAGUUAAGUACCAUGGCUGGUAGAGCCCCUACAGCAUGAAAUACUAAGUGCAGCUUUUGCAACUUCAGUGAACACGUAGACAAAGAAAAAAAAAAGAAUGUUGGAGAAUAUCCAGCACAUACGAGAACACAAACAGUCUAACACUCACGGUUCAUCCCCACAGAACAACACGUCUGCGCACAUCUUGUCUGCCCAAACAAAACACAGUGUGUGGAAAGAAGAUUGCAACAAAUCUGGCACACGAGACUUGAGUCAGCUGUUCAGUCUGGUGUUUCUUGUCAGUGGGCACGAGAAGUUUAAAAUGGCAGGUACACACCACUGCUCUGAGGAGCUGAUUGCCGAAUUUAUUGAUAUGUAUAGGAGCUGCACAAGCCAAUGGAAAAUCACAAGUUUCAGCUUUGCAAAUGGAUCUGAGAUUUCUUCUCGGAAAUUUAACAGUACUUAGUAACCGAUGGAAAAUUAUUGAGUAAAACAGAAGUGAUAUCUCGAAUUCCCCAAGGAGGUGUUUUAGGUGCUUCUCUACAUAAACGAUUUAGUAAAUAAUCGGAACAGCACUCUUGAUUGAUUGGAAAUGAUUUACCAUCUAGUGAAGUCAUUUGAAAAUCAAAACCAAUUGCAAGAUGACUUCGAAACAAUAUCUGAAUGGUGCGAAAAGUGGCAAUUGUCUCUCAAUGAGACCAAGUGUGAGGUCAUCCAAAUGAAUACAAAAAGAAACCAUUAAAUUUCGAUUACAUAAUAAAUCAUACAAAUUUAAAGACUGUCAUUUCGACUAAAUAUCUUGGAAUUACAAUUAUGAACAACUUAAAUUGUAAUUAUCAUAUACAUAAUGUUGUGGGGAAGGCAAACCAAAGACUACAUUUAUUGGCAGCACAUUCAGAAGAUGCAACAGGUCUACUGAAGAGAUUGUCUGCACUAUGCUUUUUCAUCCUCUGCUAGAAUACUGUUGUGCUGUGUGAGGCCCUUACCAGAUACAAUGGACAGAGGGCAUCGAAGAAGGGCAGCUCGUUGUAUAUUAUCGAAAAAGUUGGAAGACUUCCCUCAGGUGUUGCAGCUUGGAUGGUAGGCUGUCUUUGUCGCAGACGGCGAGCGCCCUAUGUACCAGUGUGGUCAGUACUGUUUGUCUUUGUGCUGGAUGGUGGCAGCUUGUUGCAUGAAGGUAUAGACCUGUGAUUUGACUGGAAAAGAACUGGACGCUGCCACAGUCGCAGUCCUCAAAAAAGGACUGAAUUUCGCCCCUGUUCCCAGAACGAUCCCGAAACGAGACAUUAUCAGUGACGUGGAGCAGUAUGAGGGCUUCCAACGGAGGGAGCGGAGGAAGUCAGAUGGGAAACUUGCAGAAUAAUCGACAGAUCUCAAUUGCCUAAAAAUAACAUAUCUGCGGAAGAACGAGCAGCUCUCCAGUCCCUUAGAGAUGACCCUGAUAUAACGAUCCUACCAGCGGACAAAGGGAACGCGACAGUGCUGUUAAGUACUGCCGAGUACCGGCAGAAAAUAAACCUCCUGCUACAAGACGAGGCCUACAAGAGGCUGAAGAAGGAUCCAACCCCGACGAUGAGUAGAAAGACGAUAGCUGUGCUGAAGAAAUAUGACUUACUGGAGCAAAUGAAGAAGCGAUUGUACCCCAGAGCUCCAGCGAUACCACGCCUCUAUGGACUCUCCAAGAUCUAUAAGGAAGGGGUACCUCAGACCGAUUGUGGACUCCAUCAUCUCUCACAGUUACGAACUUGAUAAACACCUAAAGACACUGCUCAAACCCCUUGUGGGACACUGCAGCCACCAUGUGAGAAACUCAGCCGAAUUCAUAAAAAUAGUCAGGGACAUGUGACUACAAAGGGAGGACCUACUCGUGAGCUUCGACGUGACGUUGCUUUUCACGAAAGUGGCUCUUCGAGACUCCUUGGCACUUUUAACCCAGCAUUUUGAACCACAAACAGUCAGCCUCUUCGAACACGCACUAACAACCACCUACUUUCAGUGCAACAGGGAAUUCUUUGAGCAGAUUGACGGUGUGGGGAUGGGCUCCUGCGACUGCAAACCUCUAUAUGGAACAUUUCGAGGACGUGGCCCUUCAAACUGCCAGACAGAAACCGAAGCACUAUUUCUGCUAUGUCGACGACACUUUUAUCGUGUGGGGACAUGGCAAACACACGCUAGAUGAGUUUCUUGAACACCUCAACAGCAUCCAUCCGAACAUCAAAUUUACAAUGGAAAUGGAGGAAAAUGGAUGCCUCCCCUACCUUGAUAUUUUAAUUAAGAGGAAGGCAGAUGGAUCACUAAGCCAUGCAGUACAUAGGAAGAAGACACAUACGGAUCUAUACCUUCAUACAACAAGCUGCCACCAUCCAGCACAAAGACAAACAGUACUGACCACCCUGGUACAUAGAGCACUCGCCGUCUGCGACAAAGACAGCCUACCAUCCGAGCUGCAACACCUGAGGGAAGUCUUCCAACAAAAUGGCUACAGUGAAACGCAGAUCAACAGGGCGCUUAAAGGAAAGAAGGAAGCAGUGAGAACCCCAGAAGAAAAUAAUGAAGGAGAAGAAGAAGAUAAACGACUCGCGUUCCUUCCGUACGUGGGUCCGCUCUCGGCCAAAAUUGCACGACUUCUGAGAAAAUACAAGAUCAAAACGAUUCUCCGACCACCACCGAAGACGAGGGAGCUCCUAGGUUCUGCCAAAGACGUGCUGAACCUUAACACACCAGGAGUAUACAGAAUACCGUACGAAUGCGGAAAGCAAUACAUUGGGCAAACACAGCGCUGCAUAUCUAAACGCUGCAAAGAACAUGAUCAGAUGUAUGCGACUAAGCCACACAGAAAAAUCAGCCAUAGCAGAACACAGCAUCAAUGAAGAACACACCUCCAACUUCGAAAACACGAAGGUACUGUGUCGAGCAUCUGGAUUUUGGGAAAGCGUUAUCAAAGAAUCCAUAGAAAUAAGAAUUCACGUGAAUCUGGUCAACAGAGACGAGGGAUAGCAACUUAGCGCAGCAAGGAACCCUGCGAUGGCGGCAAUCCUUCGGGAGGGCGCCGUCAACGUCCUCCGCCGCGGACGCAGACAGAAGGCUUACACCGAGAACCGAACGCGGCCGCCGGGGGCGCCCACCAUCCCCACCACCACCGCGCACGCCGCUGGUCCACCGCAGCCACCCGAGGUCUAGUGGAGGGGGGUGACAGAGCACAUAAAUAGGCCGCUCUCCACGAAUCUCGAUACUUCGCCAGAAGAUGGGUAGUAUGACACUUCCUGAAACGUCGCGAGAUAUCAACGCUACCAACCGGCUGGAGAUCCACUCACUGAGUGGCAGUCAAGGGUAGAGCAUCGCUCCUCUAGCUAGCGCACUGUCAGCCAUACGCCCCCACUUGCACGGGAGUACAAACAGUAGUGUUCUCUGACUUAGCAUAAACGGCACUUGGGAAAUUUUGCAAGGGCGUCGCCUGACAGCAGAAUUGUCGUGUCUUCUCGUCGCCGUGGUAUGUCGAGCUUGGGUGGUGCCUUGGGAUCGCGGCGGUCUCUUUCCUCUGACGACACGAGACGCGUUUUCAUGUUGCCGCGCGGCCGGCCGAUUCGAGCACUUCAGCUGCCUGACAUCCCC
RNA transcript from Schistocerca cancellata (South American locust), 7105 nucleotides. RefSeq lists it as uncharacterized. The record is from RefSeq and is a predicted model, not a curated record. Lineage: Eukaryota; Metazoa; Arthropoda; Insecta; Orthoptera; Acrididae. The transcript is spliced from 10 exons.